CAGCCGCCGCGGUAAUACGUAGGUGGCAAGCGUUGUCCGGAAUUAUUGGGCGUAAAGGGCUCGCAGGCGGUUUCUUAAGUCCGAUGUGAAAGCCCCCGGCUCAACCGGGGAGGGUCAUUGGAAACUGGGAAACUUGAGUGCGGAAGAGGAGAGUGGAAUUCCACGUGUAGCGGUGAAAUGCGUAGAGAUGUGGAGGAACACCAGUGGCGAAGGCGACUCUCUGGUCUGUAACUGACGCUGAGGAGCGAAAGCGUGGGGAGCGAACAGGAUUAGAUACCCCCGUAGUCCCUGUCUCUUAUAC
Molecule: ribosomal RNA, 301 nt
Filed under: uncultured bacterium
Lineage: Bacteria
Description: partial 16S ribosomal RNA
Rfam family: Bacterial small subunit ribosomal RNA
Source: RNAcentral